AGGGUAGAAGACGAAGUGGAUAGUUACGGGUUUUGGGGGCUCGCGUUAGCGUGUUCGAGUCACGCCUACCCUA
RNAcentral lists this transfer RNA (73 nucleotides) under Schizophyllum commune. RNAcentral describes it as "tRNA-Pro". The record is from RNAcentral. Lineage: Eukaryota; Fungi; Basidiomycota; Agaricomycetes; Agaricales; Schizophyllaceae.